ACUGGGUACAAGGUCGAGGAAACAUUAAUUCUCCCCUAAACAAGCCUAGCAUGGGCGGGUUUCGCACACGAUAUCUGGCAUCACUCUCUAGACACAAUCUUUAUCUAGAACCUAACCUAAAGCUAAAGUUCCAGAUCCUAACUAGACUCUCGACUCUACAACACUAACCACUAGUACCAGUAGUCCGACCUAUGUGGCCUAGGACCUCUAGUACUUCUAAUCAACUAAACAACUACAUCAUUAAUAAAUAACCUCAACUCAACCAGUUAGUCAGUCCCUUACCAAACUAACCUCAAUCAGCAAGAUUAAUUAAACGAGCAAGCAUUUAAUUAAAUCUAACAAUGAACUCAAUCAAACCAUUACCCAUAUAUACCAGCCUCUUGGUGAGAAACUAUCUUAAAAGAUAACAUGAACCUAUACUCAACCAUAUCAACACGCAAGAAUAAAAUCACAAUAGCAAUGAUUAUCUAAGCGUGCAAUUUAACUACCUAGCAAUCAACCAAGCAUUCAUUCAAACAAUCCUAAACUAUCCAAACUGUUACCAAGUCAGGCCCGGCCUCCUGCUGUGAUCCUAACUUAACAAUAACGGAAACUUGCACUUAACCAU
Molecule: long non-coding RNA, 607 nt
Filed under: Brassica napus (rape)
Lineage: Eukaryota; Viridiplantae; Streptophyta; Magnoliopsida; Brassicales; Brassicaceae
Description: long non-coding RNA (BNAP_LNC009883)
Source: RNAcentral